Molecule: long non-coding RNA, 465 nt
Organism: Pantherophis guttatus
Lineage: Eukaryota; Metazoa; Chordata; Lepidosauria; Squamata; Colubridae
Source: RefSeq, a predicted model, not a curated record
GAGAUGCAGCCACAAAGCUAACCUCCGAAACCCCAUGGCCUCUAACCGCCUCGGUGCAGGGAGAGAUGGACUUGAGGGCCAGCAGAAAUCUGGACUACGUAAUCCAUCUUGGUUAGAGUUGUUUGGUAGCUUUGUCUGGGAUACAAACCCAGCUAAAGGUUGGCUUACCCUGUUCAGUGAAUUGAACCUGACAUGAUCCGAACUCUUGUGUUGGAGAGAAGCAAAGGAGGAGUAAAAGGAGCUGUGAACAAUUCCAGAGCAAUUCCACAGCUUAGACGUUUCCUCUCCCUGCCCUUCUCCAAAGCUGGACGCAACGGUCUGAGAAUUCAGUUGGAAACUGUUGGAAGAAAUGUCCAUCUGGGUUCAGUUCCAAGUGGGGAGAAAGAUCCUGGAAACCUGGAGACUGCUGGAAAAGAUGGUUUAAUGGUGGACAGCAGGACCACGUGGUUUUGAGGUCGUGGGCAA